Molecule: ribosomal RNA, 353 nt
Filed under: uncultured Geobacillus sp.
Lineage: Bacteria; Bacillati; Bacillota; Bacilli; Caryophanales; Anoxybacillaceae
Description: bacterial SSU rRNA
Rfam family: Bacterial small subunit ribosomal RNA
Source: RNAcentral
GGGUGACAGGUGGUGGCAUGGUUGUCGUCAGCUCGUGUCGUGAGAUGUGGUUAAGUCCCGCAACGAGCGCAACCCUCGCCUCUAGUUGCCAGCAUUCGGUUGGGCACUCUAGAGGGACUGCCGGCGACAAGUCGGAGGAAGGUGGGGGAUGACGUCAAAUCAUCAUGCCCCUUAUGACCUGGGCUACACACGUGCUACAAUGGGCGGUACAAAGGGCUACGAACCCGCGAGGGGGAGCGAAUCCCAAAAAGCCGCUCUCAGUUCGGAUUGCAGGCUGCAACUCGCCUGCAUGAAGCCGGAAUCGCUAGUAAUCGCGGACCAGCAUGCCGCGGUCGAAUACGUUCCCGGGCCUU